This 84-nucleotide transfer RNA is filed under the name Candidatus Undinarchaeales archaeon SRR5007147.bin71. Its description in RNAcentral is "tRNA-Leu". It matches the Rfam family "tRNA". From Rfam's summary of the family: Transfer RNA (tRNA) molecules are approximately 80 nucleotides in length. Their secondary structure includes four short double-helical elements and three loops (D, anti-codon, and T loops). The record is from RNAcentral. Lineage: Archaea; Nanobdellati; Candidatus Undinarchaeota; Candidatus Undinarchaeia; Candidatus Undinarchaeales.
GCGGGGGUGCCGGAGCGGUCAAACGGGCCGGGCUUAGGACCUGGUAGCUUAGUGCUUACGCAGGUUCGAAUCCUGUCCCCCGCA